GUGCUCGCUUUGGCAGCACAUGUAAUAAAAUUGGAACGAUACAGAGAAGAUUAGCAUGGCCCCUGAGCAAGGAUGACAUGCAAAUUCAUGAAGCACUCCACAUUGUU
RNAcentral lists this small nuclear RNA (107 nucleotides) under Sciurus vulgaris (Eurasian red squirrel). Lineage: Eukaryota; Metazoa; Chordata; Mammalia; Rodentia; Sciuridae. The record is from RNAcentral.